UGUUUUUCGGUUCUCAAGAAAUUGAGAUUAAAAGGGAAUUAGGUCAGAAUCCUAAGCAACAGCCAUUACCGUAUUUGAUGAAUUGAGCACAUUUGCCAUUGGUUUUUCCGAGAAGGCGUGUUCAUACGUUUUUUGACUUUAUCUUAAGUCGGGAGACCUGCCGAAAAAUUAU
RNAcentral lists this non-coding RNA (172 nucleotides) under pig gut metagenome. The record is from RNAcentral.